Oreochromis aureus is the source of this 1524-nucleotide long non-coding RNA. NCBI's taxonomy places the organism in Eukaryota, Metazoa, Chordata, Actinopteri, Cichliformes, Cichlidae. The record is from Ensembl.
AAAUAUUGAUACACACACACAUACACAGAGCCUAAAGGGAACAGUAUUUGUGCCAUGAAGUGUUAACAAGAAUGUGAGGUCCAUAUUAGAAAAGCUGCUAAAAUCAUAAAAGUUUGCAGAAUUGUAAUAAAUGAUGAAUAUGAAUUAGUGGUCUGUGAUAGUGUAUUAAUUUGUAGGGAAAAAAAACAUGUUGCCCAAGGUGUAAUUGAACCCACGACCUUUGGGUUGCAGACCUGUGUUAUUACCAACUGCGCCACUGGGAAAGAGCGAGCGCCUGGAAAACAGGGUGAUGAGCAGUCAGAAUUAGAUUGCGGUGAGAGGCGAAAAACGCUGUUUUUUGGAGUUACAAAACGUCGUGUAACUCAAAAACUAGGUGGACUAGAAGCAUAAUUCUUGUACUGGGUGAAUCAGCGGACUUUGGUGUGCUUUGACUGUGAUUUGCAUUGCUCUUUGUACAUCUGUCGCUGAGAUAUGACGAGAGAAGAAAGGGCAGACCUCAGAUAUGAUUGGCUGGCUGGGAAGCCGUGCAGGCCCUGAUAUGUAAAUUUUAUAUGUAUCAGUCCUCACAGAGGAUUAGCUGCCUGGGGACCUGGCAGAAAUAUAUACAAAUAGUAUGAUUAAGCAUAAAUACUACAUUUAGUAGAAAUACUAUGUUUUAGCACAAAUACUAUAAAAUGGCAGGAAUACUAUAAUUAAGCAGAAAUACUAUAUUUGGUAGUAGUAGUAGUAUUAGUGGCACGGUGGCAGCACGGUGGCACGGUGGUUAGCACUGUGCCGCACAGCAAGAAGGUCCUGAGUUCGAUUCCACCAUCAGGCCGGGGUCUUUCUGUGUGGAGUUUGCAUGUUCUCCCCGUGUUUGCGUGGGUUCCCUCCGGGUACUCCGGCUUCCUCCCACUGUCCAAAGACAUGCAGUUUGAGGGGAUAGGUUAAUUGGAUAAUCCAAAUUGUCACUAGGUGUGAAUGUGUGAGUGAAUGUGAGCGUGAGUGGUUGUUUGUCCCUGUGUGUUGGCCCUGCGACAGACUGGCGACCUGUCCAGGGUGUACCCCGCCUCUCGCCCUAUGACAGCUGGGAUAGGCUCCAGCGCCCCCCGCGACCCUGGAAAGGAUAAGCGGAAGCGAAUGGAUGGAUGGAUGGAUGGAUACUAUAUUUGGCAGAAACACUAUAUUUAGUACAAAUCUUAUGAAAUAGCAGAAAUAGUAUGAUUUAGCAGAAAUGCUGUAUUUGGCACAAAUACUGAAAAGCAGCAGAAAUGCUAUGACUUAGCACAACAGUAAUAACUUAUAGAAAAAUUGGAAAAGCAAAAUGGACAGCUGGAAAAAUCCUGAACAUGCUAAGGGUCCCUCAAAUCUAAUUGUUAAUUGAAAAAAAAAAUCAGCAAAAAAGUAUAACAGUGACACAAUCACAAAUAUGGACACAUAUGGAAACACACAUGCACAGAGAGACACACACAGGAUCAAACACAGGAUCAAAUUCAGUCAACCAGUCUAAAUAUAUUGAAUUUAAAUCACAUAAUAAGAUGCUCC